RNAcentral lists this ribosomal RNA (2157 nucleotides) under Triticum aestivum (bread wheat). RNAcentral's name for it is "partial small subunit ribosomal RNA". The record is from RNAcentral. Lineage: Eukaryota; Viridiplantae; Streptophyta; Magnoliopsida; Poales; Poaceae.
AUGAGCUACUACGGUGGCUAUGGGGAUAGUAUUAUUGGCCAUCCCCAGGUUAUCUGGUCUGCGAACCGCAACUUCCCCGUAGGCAGGGAUGACAUCCUUUCUUUCACUGGGGCUGGUCAGUUAAUUCUUCAAAACAAUGUUGGCACCUUUGUCUGGUCCACACCGACAAAGGACGCCUCCGUAGUUGGUAUGCGCCUCGAUGGUUCUGGAAACCUCGUGCUUUUUGAUCAAAACAAUGUCUCUGUCUGGGAGUCCUUUGACUACCCAACAGAUACAUUGGUGAUCGGGCAGUUGCUAUGCGCGGGAGCUAAUCUCACUGCCAAUGAUUCAUUCACCAGUUGGGCAUCAGGUCAGAUCAAUCUUCAUACCUCAUCAAAUGGAUUGCAGUUUUAUUUUGGCUCUGCCGCGUACACACAAGUAUUCCAACCAACUUCUCUAGGCAAUGGGACAUCAGAUUGUUAUGCAUUUACCAAUGGCAGCUUUGGAUUUCCCAAACUGGUCUUCUCAUUGCCCCUUGCAAGGUCAUUUCAGUUCAUGCGGUUAGAGUUUGAUGGUCAUUUUCGUCUAUAUGAAAUGAAGGAGGCUGCCUUCCACGUGGUGUUCGAUGUGCUAAGCAAUGAAAUCAAGUUUUGUGAUUAUCCUCUAGCCUGUGGUGAAUACAGUGUUUGUAUAAAUGGGCAGUGUUGCUGUCCCAGCUCUCACUAUUUUAGACUCCAAGAUGAAUGGCGUCCAGAUAUGGGGUGUCUACCAUGGACUAAUCUGUCUUCUUGCAAUGACAUGCGCUAUCAUCAACUUGUACCUAUUAGCAACAUUUCUUACUUCAGUGAUGAUGCCUUCCAAUCAUUGGCUACUUCUGCUACAGAUGCGGACUGCAAGCAAUCUUGCUUAGAAGAGUGCUCUUGCAAAGUUGCAUUAUUUCAAUACGAUGACCAUGAUGGAAUUACUGGCUCUUGUUUGCAUUUAUCACAGGCCUCACUACUUUCUCAAACUACAAAUUCUUCUCAUCGUACUUCAGUAUUUUUCAAAAUACAGGGCACCAUGAAAAGAAGGACCAACAUUGCCAUUGGUUCUGCAGUUGGUAGUUUUGCUUUAUUUGCAACUGCCAUCUCCAUUUUCACUUGGAGAAAAUGUAAGAAAACGGAGGAGGAAGAAUGCUUCCUUGGAGGAAUACCUGGAGUACCAGCACGCUUCUCCUAUAACGAGCUGAAGAUAGCCACAAGGAACUUCUCGAUGAGGCUUGGAUCUGGAGGGUUUGGCUCUGUCUUCAAAGGUAAAAUAGGCAAGGAAACGAUAGCUGUCAAGCGCUUAGAAGGGGUCGAUCAAGGAAAGCAGGAGUUCUUAGCAGAAGUUGAGACCAUAGGAAGAAUUCAUCACAUUAAUCUUGUCAGGUUAAUUGGAUUUUGUGCUGAAAAAUCGAGCAGGCUACUUGUGUACGAGUAUAUGAGCAAUAGUUCAUUGGAUAAAUGGAUAUUCCAUGCACAUCCAGUUUUUACACUCUCAUGGAAGACAAGGUGUAAUAUCAUCAUGGGUAUUGCCAAGGGUCUGUCUUAUCUCCAUGAAGAAUGUGAACAAAGGAUUGCUCACCUAGACAUCAAGCCACAGAACAUUCUUCUGGAUGACAGGUUUAAUGCGAAGGUCUCGGAUUUUGGAUUAUCGAAAUUGAUAAGUAGGGACGAUAGCAAGAUCAUGACUCGGAUGCGAGGCACACGUGGAUAUCUUGCACCUGAGUGGCUAGGUUCGAAGAUCACCGAGAAGGUAGACAUCUACAGCUUUGGAAUUGUCAUAGUUGAAAUUAUAUGUGGGCGAAGGAACCUGGACGAAUCACAACCUGAAGAGCGAGUUCACCUAAUCAGUCUUCUGCAAGAAAAGGCUAGAUGUGGAAAGUUAUUCGAUUUGGUGGAUACGAGCAGCAACGACAUGCAAUUUCACAUGGAGGAGGUUAGAGAAAUGAUGGAGCUCGCAAUGUGGUGCUUACAGGUUGAUAGCAGCAAGAGGCCUCUGAUGUCAACAGUUGCCAAGGUGUUGGAAGGUGCGAUGACUUUAGAGGCCACACCUCACUAUGAUCUUGUUGCUAAUCAUGAACCAAAUCAGAGCGAUGUUGAGAUGCAAAUUUGCUCAUACCUGCCUUCGGCAACACAUCUGUCGGGACCUAGGUGA